GAGCGCCGUAGCAAUACGGAGCGGCAGACGGGAGAGUAACACGUGGGAACGUGCCCUUCAGUUCGGAACAACCCCAGGGAAACUUGGGCUAAUACCGGAUACGUCCGUAAGGAGAAAGAUUUAUCGCUGAAGGAUCGGCCCGCGUCUGAUUAGCUAGUUGGUGGGGUAAUGGCCCACCAAGGCGACGAUCAGUAGCUGGUCUGAGAGGAUGAUCAGCCUCACUGGGACUGAGACACGGCCCAGACUCCUACGGGAGGCAGCAGUGGGGAAUAUUGGACAAUGGGCGCAAGCCUGAUCCAGCCAUGCCGCGUGGGUGAUGAAGGCCCUAGGGUUGUAAAGCCCUUUCGGCGGGGAAGAUAAUGACGGUACCCGCAGAAGAAGCCCCGGCUAACUUCGUG
Molecule: ribosomal RNA, 398 nt
Filed under: uncultured bacterium
Lineage: Bacteria
Description: bacterial SSU rRNA
Rfam family: Bacterial small subunit ribosomal RNA
Source: RNAcentral